This 78-nucleotide transfer RNA is filed under the name Marmota monax (woodchuck). RNAcentral describes it as "tRNA.Val". It matches the Rfam family "tRNA". From Rfam's summary of the family: Transfer RNA (tRNA) molecules are approximately 80 nucleotides in length. Their secondary structure includes four short double-helical elements and three loops (D, anti-codon, and T loops). Further hydrogen bonds mediate the characteristic L-shaped molecular structure. tRNAs have two regions of fundamental functional importance: the anti-codon, which is responsible for specific mRNA codon recognition, and the 3' end, to which the tRNAs corresponding amino acid is attached (by aminoacyl-tRNA synthetases). tRNAs cope with the degeneracy of the genetic code in two manners: having more than one tRNA (with a specific anti-codon) for a particular amino acid; and 'wobble' base-pairing, i.e. permitting non-standard base-pairing at the 3rd anti-codon position. Lineage: Eukaryota; Metazoa; Chordata; Mammalia; Rodentia; Sciuridae. The record is from RNAcentral.
GCUGGAGAUAUAGCUCAGUUGGUAGAGUGCUUGCUUCACAUGCAUAGGGCCCUGGGUUCAAUCCCCAGCACCCCAGCA